AGCAAGAGCUUAUGAUGAAGCUGCUUGCUUGCUUCGCGGUGCCAAUACAAGAACAAAUUUCUGGCCUUGUUCUCCAUCUUCUUCAACGACUCCAGCUCUUCCUUCAAAGAUCACAAACCUUCUUCUCCAGAGGAUCAAAGCAAGAAACAACUCUUGCCCUUCUGUAUCCCCUUCCCCUCUACCUAUCAACCAGCAAGAAGUGGAGGAAUAUAGAGCAGAAACAACAGAUUUCUCAGACACCCAAUUCUCAGAUUUCCUCAAUGAUCCUGAAGAUUACACCACUUGCAACGAUAACAUUGAUAGUACUAGUUCAAGCGCUCUUGAUUACAUGACAACCAGCCUUGAGUCAUGUUUAACUGAGAAAGAAGAUAGUGGAGGAAGAGAAAUGGAUUUUGAUUACAACUGGAGUAAUAUAUCAGAGUCUUGUAAUGGUGAUGUUAACAACUUAGAAGCUGAAGGUGAAGAUGGGGGAGAAGAUGAAGGAGAAGAGGCUGUUAUAGGGGCCAUGGAUUUCCAAUUUGUUGAUGAUGUUGGAUCAGCUUGUUACUACUCUCCUUUCGAAAUUGCUGAAGAGAUCGAGGAGCCGGUGGAGCCAGAGACCUUUGGAGAUGAACCUUCAAUGCUUAGAGCAGCCAUGAAGAGGAUGAAAUAUGAAAGGAAGUUCUCUGCUUCUCUUUAUGCCUUCAAUGGAAUUCCUGAGUGCUUAAGGUUGAAGCUUGGAUCAGGAAAUGUGAAGGGGAGAGAAAGGUCUGCUCAAUUAGCCAAUCUUCGAAUCGCAUGUAACAAGAACAAAGAGAAGGAGAGGAAAGCAAAAGAAGAGAAUAUGGAAGCGAUGGGGAAGAAACAGGAAGAGCACUCACAAAGCUCAGUUGAAAUGGGGUCCUCUGCUUCAUCUUCUUCUUUGAGCAAUGAUGGUGAAUUGUCACUUUGGAGCUCCCUUGAUCUUCCACCAAUCUGUUUUGUUAGCUAAAUCCAUUUAUAUGAUCUUCAUUUCGUAAGCAGUUCGGUCUGAGAUUCACAAGUCAAAUAAUAGUUCAAUCAAUUUCAGA
RNAcentral lists this unclassified non-coding RNA (1049 nucleotides) under Hevea brasiliensis (rubber tree). Lineage: Eukaryota; Viridiplantae; Streptophyta; Magnoliopsida; Malpighiales; Euphorbiaceae. The record is from RNAcentral.